GGAGGGAUGACAGAGCGGCCGAAUGUGGCGGUCUUGAAAACCGCUGUGCGAUGACCUCGCACCCGGGGUUCGAAUCCCCGUCCCUCCG
This 88-nucleotide transfer RNA is filed under the name Allobogoriella caseilytica. RNAcentral's name for it is "Bogoriella caseilytica tRNA-Ser". It matches the Rfam family "tRNA". Rfam says of the family: Transfer RNA (tRNA) molecules are approximately 80 nucleotides in length. Their secondary structure includes four short double-helical elements and three loops (D, anti-codon, and T loops). Lineage: Bacteria; Bacillati; Actinomycetota; Actinomycetes; Allobogoriellales; Allobogoriellaceae. The record is from RNAcentral.